GUAGGGAAUCUUCGGCAAUGGACGGAAGUCUGACCGAGCAACGCCGCGUGAGUGAAGAAGGUCUUCGGAUCGUAAAGCUCUGUUGUAAGAGAAGAACGAGUGUGAGAGUGGAAAGUUCACACUGUGACGGUAUCUUACCAGAAAGGGACGGCUAACUACGUGCCAGCAGCCGCGGUAAUACGUAGGUCCCGAGCGUUGUCCGGAUUUAUUGGGCGUAAAGCGAGCGCAGGCGGUUAGAUAAGUCUGAAGUUAAAGGCUGUGGCUUAACCAUAGUACGCUUUGGAAACUGUUUAACUUGAGUGCAAGAGGGGAGAGUGGAAUUCCAUGUGUAGCGGUGAAAUGCGUAGAUAUAUGGAGGAACACCGGUGGCGAAAGCGGCUCUCUGGCUUGUAACUGACGCUGAGGCUCGAAAGCGUGGGGAGCAAACAGGAUUAGAAACCCCAGUAGUCC
Molecule: ribosomal RNA, 450 nt
Filed under: uncultured Streptococcaceae bacterium
Lineage: Bacteria; Bacillati; Bacillota; Bacilli; Lactobacillales; Streptococcaceae
Description: bacterial SSU rRNA
Rfam family: Bacterial small subunit ribosomal RNA
Source: RNAcentral